UGGGAGACCAUUUCUGGCUUCUGGGAGACGGGGUCCUCUGACCAGGUUUCUCACCUCUGGGCGUCUGGCUACAGGUGGUCUAUCCAUGGCUACACAGGGGUCUAUCCACAGCUACACUGGGCUAUAGGGCUCUAUCCUGGGCCACAGGUCUCUAUCCUGGGCUAGACGUCUCUAUCCUGAACUUACUCUCCGCCUGGUCUCGUAGACUUGCUCCAUCUAGGAGGCGGACUCCCCCUUCAAA
This is a long non-coding RNA of Amblyraja radiata (thorny skate), 241 nucleotides long. RefSeq lists it as uncharacterized. The transcript has 2 exons. The record is from RefSeq and is a predicted model, not a curated record. NCBI's taxonomy places the organism in Eukaryota, Metazoa, Chordata, Chondrichthyes, Rajiformes, Rajidae.